Molecule: non-coding RNA, 98 nt
Organism: Acanthosepion pharaonis
Lineage: Eukaryota; Metazoa; Mollusca; Cephalopoda; Sepiida; Sepiidae
Source: the annotation of a GenBank genome assembly
AUUGAAACAUCCGUUCUCGUACGAUCACCGAAGUUAAGCAACGUCGAGCCUAGGCAGUACCUAAAUGGGUGACCGCUUGGGAAUGCCAGGUGCUGUAA